UAAGACGAACCACACAAACGUUAUUCGGAAUCACUGGGCUUAAAGGGUGCGUAGGCGGCGCGGAAAGUUGGGUGUGAAAUCCCUCAGCUUAACUGAGGAAUGGCGCCCAAAACUACCGUGCUCGAGGAAGACAGAGGUGAGCGGAACUCAGGGUGGAGCGGUGAAAUGCGUUGAUAUCCUGAGGAACACCGGUGGCGAAAGCGGCUCACUGGGUCUUAUCUGACGCUGAUGCACGAAAGCUAGGGGAGCGAACGGGAUUAGAUACCCCGGUAGUCCUAGCUGUAAACGAUGAGCACUUGGUUGAAGGGCCCUCCAUAGCCCUUCAGCCGAAGCGAAAGUGUUAAGUGCUCCGCCUGGGGAGUAUGGUCGCAAGGCUG
RNAcentral lists this ribosomal RNA (377 nucleotides) under uncultured bacterium. Its description in RNAcentral is "bacterial SSU rRNA". It matches the Rfam family "Bacterial small subunit ribosomal RNA", at positions 521 to 896 of the family's 1533-position model. The record is from RNAcentral.